RNAcentral lists this ribosomal RNA (253 nucleotides) under uncultured bacterium. RNAcentral describes it as "partial 16S ribosomal RNA". It matches the Rfam family "Bacterial small subunit ribosomal RNA", at positions 524 to 776 of the family's 1533-position model. The record is from RNAcentral.
UACGUAGGCAGCAAGCGUUGUUCGGAGUUACUGGGCGUAAAGGGUGUGUAGGCGGUUCUUUAAGUUUGGUGUGAAAUCUCCCGGCUCAACUGGGAGGGUGCGCCGAAUACUGAGGGACUAGAGUACGGGAGAGGAAAGUGGAAUUCCUGGUGUAGCGGUGAAAUGCGUAGAUAUCAGGAGGAACACCGGUGGUGUAGACGGCUUUCUGGACCGACACUGACGCUGAGACACGAAAGCGUGGGUAGCAAACAGG